Non-coding RNA from Vicugna pacos (alpaca), 148 nucleotides. NCBI's taxonomy places the organism in Eukaryota, Metazoa, Chordata, Mammalia, Artiodactyla, Camelidae. The record is from RefSeq and is a predicted model, not a curated record.
AAUCCUAAGAUUAAAAGAGCGAGAGAGAGAAAGAAGAGUCAGAUUUCUUUUCUCAAUAGCCUCAAGAUAUAUCACCUUUUAAAAACCAGCACGAGGACAUCCCCAGUAAGAUGGCCCUCCGCCGCGGCGCUUCCUCACCUGGGGCGGU